CCUACGGGAGGCAGCAGUGAGGAAUAUUGGUCAAUGGGCGCGAGCCUGAACCAGCCAAGUCGCGUGAGGGAAGACGUACCUAUGGAUUGUAAACCUCUUUUGUCGGGGAGCAAAAGACGCCGCGCGUGGCGUUCCAAGAGUACCCGAAGAACAAGCAUCGUCUAACUCCGUGCCAGCAGCCGCGGUACUACUGAGGAUGAGAUGGUUAUCGGGAUUUAUUGGGUUUAAAGGGUGCGCAGGCGGAAUAUCAAGGCAGCGGUAAAAUUGAGAGGCUCACCCUCUUCGAGCCGUUGAAACUGGUUGUCUUGAGUGAGUGAGAGGUAUGCGGAAGGCGUGGUGUAGCGGUGAAAUGCAUAGAUAUCACGCAGAACUCCGAUUGCGAAGGCAGCAUACCGGCGCUCAACUGACGCUCAUGCACGAAAGUGUGGGUAUCGAACAGGAUUAGAUACCCGAGUAGUC
RNAcentral lists this ribosomal RNA (459 nucleotides) under uncultured bacterium. Its description in RNAcentral is "partial 16S ribosomal RNA". It matches the Rfam family "Bacterial small subunit ribosomal RNA", at positions 338 to 795 of the family's 1533-position model. The record is from RNAcentral.